Molecule: ribosomal RNA, 497 nt
Filed under: uncultured bacterium
Lineage: Bacteria
Description: partial 16S ribosomal RNA
Rfam family: Bacterial small subunit ribosomal RNA
Source: RNAcentral
GAUGAACGCUGGCGGCGUGCCUAAUACAUGCAAGUCGAGCGAACAGACGAGGAGCUUGCUCCUCUGACGUUAGCGGCGGACGGGUGAGUAACGCGUGGAUAACCUACCUAUAAGACUGGGAUAACUUCGGGAAACCGGAGCUAAUACCGGAUAAUAUAUUGAACCGCAUGGUUCAAUAGUGAAAGACGGUUUUGCUGUCACUUAUAGAUGGAUCCGCGCCGCAUUAGCUAGUUGGUAAGGUAACGGCUUACCAAGGCAACGAUGCGUAGCCGACCUGAGAGGGUGAUCGGCCACACUGGAACUGAGACACGGUCCAGACGCCUACGGGAGGCAGCAGUAGGGAAUCUUCCGCAAUGGGCGAAAGCCUGACGGAGCAACGCAGCGUGAGUGAUGAAGGUCUUCGGAUCGUAAAACUCUGUGAUUAGGGAAGAACAAAUGUGUAAGUAACUAUGCACGUCGUGACGGUACCUAAUCAGAAAGCCACGGCUAACUACGUG